RNAcentral lists this ribosomal RNA (292 nucleotides) under uncultured bacterium. RNAcentral's name for it is "partial 16S ribosomal RNA". The record is from RNAcentral.
GGACUACUGGGGUAUCUAAUCCUGUUUGCUCCCCACGCUUUCGUGCAUGAGCGUCAGUCUUAUCCCAGGGGGCUGCCUUCGCCAUCGGUAUUCCUCCACAUCUCUACGCAUUUCACUGCUACACGUGGAAUUCUACCCCCCUCUGACAGACUCGAGCUUGCUAGUUUCAAACGCAAUUCCCAGGUUAAGCCCGGGGCUUUCACAUCUGACUUAACAAACCGCCUGCGCACGCUUUACGCCCAGUAAUUCCGAUUAACGCUCGCACCCUACGUAUUACCGCGGCUGCUGGCAC